This 447-nucleotide long non-coding RNA is filed under the name Serinus canaria (Common canary). Its description in RNAcentral is "lncRNA (ENSSCAG00000002991.1)". Lineage: Eukaryota; Metazoa; Chordata; Aves; Passeriformes; Fringillidae. The record is from RNAcentral.
AGUGAGUGAACCAUGGUGGGACUCUGGAGUGAGCAGGAGUGUUCUGGGGAACGGCUGCAGCUCCCUGGGUGAGACCAGGCCUGAACAGAUGGUGGGCCACUCCCAGUCCAAGGCCUGACUUCCACAGUGCUUCGUGGCUUUGGCCAAAUGGCAGUUGUGGAAUCUGUGCACAUGAAGCCUCUCAAGGAGACCAUGGGAUGGCUCCUGAGAGCAGCAGUCCUGGCUGAUGCUGAGCUCCUGGCUGAACUCCAUCCCACAGCUGCCCCGUGCGGGAGGCAAAGGCUGUUCCUGCUGCACUGUGCUGCCCUGCUCAGCACUGCCUUCUGCACCUUCUGCACCUCGCCCAUCCCAGCAGGGUCUGCAGGACGGCCCUGCCCUGGCAGCAGCUGUGCUGGUUCCUGGCUGCUCCACACCGUGGAUGCAUUUCAGCAGCAGGAGUGGGGCUCC